This 30-nucleotide non-coding RNA is filed under the name Rattus norvegicus (Norway rat). Lineage: Eukaryota; Metazoa; Chordata; Mammalia; Rodentia; Muridae. The record is from RNAcentral.
UCCAAGGUCAGUUUAUCCGUAUCCUUGAGC